AUUGAACGCUGGCGGCAGGCCUAACACAUGCAAGUCGAGCGGAUGAAGGGAGCUUGCUCCUGGAUUCAGCGGCGGACGGGUGAGUAAUGCCUAGGAAUCUGCCUGGUAGUGGGGGAUAACGUCCGGAAACGGGCGCUAAUACCGCAUACGUCCUGAGGGAGAAAGUGGGGGAUCUUCGGACCUCACGCUAUCAGAUGAGCCUAGGUCGGAUUAGCUAGUUGGUGGGGUAAAGGCCUACCAAGGCGACGAUCCGUAACUGGUCUGAGAGGAUGAUCAGUCAAACUGGAACUGAGACAAGGUCCAGACUCCUACGGGAGGGAGGAGUGGGGAAUAUUGGACAAAGGGCGAAAGCCUGAUCCAGCCAUGCCGCGUGUGUGAAGAAGGUCUUCGGAUUGUAAAGCACUUUAAGUUGGGAGGAAGGGCAGUAAGUUAAUACCUUGCUGUUUUGACGUUACCAACAGAAUAAGCACCGGCUAACUUCGUG
RNAcentral lists this ribosomal RNA (484 nucleotides) under uncultured bacterium. RNAcentral's name for it is "partial 16S ribosomal RNA". It matches the Rfam family "Bacterial small subunit ribosomal RNA", at positions 30 to 507 of the family's 1533-position model. The record is from RNAcentral.